Molecule: ribosomal RNA, 466 nt
Filed under: uncultured bacterium
Lineage: Bacteria
Description: partial 16S ribosomal RNA
Rfam family: Bacterial small subunit ribosomal RNA
Source: RNAcentral
GAUGAACGCUGGCGGCGUGCUUAACACAUGCAAGUCGAACGAUGAAGCCCAGCUUGCUGUGUGGGUUAGUGGCGAACGGGUGAGUAACACGUGAGUAACCUGCCCUUGUCUAUGGGAUAAGCCUCGGAAACUGGGUCUAAUACUGGCUAUGACUUCUCAUCGCUUGGUGGGGGGUGGGAAGAUUUAUGGGUCUUGGAUGGACUCGCGGCCUAUCAGCUUGUUGGUGAGGUAAUUGCUCACCAAGGCGACGACGGGUAGCCGGCCUGAGAGGGUGACAGGCCACAGUGUGAUAGGGGAGGGGGCAAUACUGCUACUGGCGACAGCAGUGGGAAACAUUGCACGAUGGGCGGAAGCCGGAUGCAGCGACGCCGCGUGAGGGAUGACGGCCUUCGGGGUGUAAACAUCUUUCAGCAGGGAAGAAGCGAGAGUGACGGUACCUGCCGAAGAAGCGACGGCUAACUACGUG